UACGUAGGUGGCAAGCGUUGUCCGGAAUUAUUGGGCGUAAAGCGCACGCAGGCGGUCCCUUAAGUCUGAUGUGAAAGCCCACGGCUCAACCGUGGAGGGUCAUUGGAAACUGGGGGACUUGAGUGCAGAAGAGGAAAGUGGAAUUCCAUGUGUAGCGGUGAAAUGCGUAGAGAUGUGGAGGAACACCAGUGGCGAAGGCGACUUUCUGGUCUGUAACUGACGCUGAGGCGCGAAAGCGUGGGGAGCAAACAGG
RNAcentral lists this ribosomal RNA (253 nucleotides) under uncultured bacterium. RNAcentral describes it as "partial 16S ribosomal RNA". It matches the Rfam family "Bacterial small subunit ribosomal RNA", at positions 524 to 776 of the family's 1533-position model. The record is from RNAcentral.